This 505-nucleotide ribosomal RNA is filed under the name uncultured Glomus. Its description in RNAcentral is "SSU rRNA". It matches the Rfam family "Eukaryotic small subunit ribosomal RNA", at positions 569 to 1076 of the family's 1831-position model. Lineage: Eukaryota; Fungi; Glomeromycota; Glomeromycetes; Glomerales; Glomeraceae. The record is from RNAcentral.
AGCAGCCGCGGUAAUUCCAGCUCCAAUAGCGUAUAUUAAAGUUGCUGCAGUUAAAAAGCUCGUAGUUGAAUUUCGGGACCAUCACGUCGGUCGUGCCUCGGUACGUACUGGCGUCGUUGGUUUCUCCCUUCUGACGAACCAUGAUGUCAUUUAUUUGGUGUCGUGGGGAAUCAGGACUGUUACUUUGAAAAAAUUAGAGUAUUUAAAGCAGGCUCGCGCUUGAAUACAUUAGCAUGGAAUAAUGAAAUAGGACGUUGAUCCUAUUUUGUUGGCUUCUAGGAUUGACGUAAUGAUUAAUAGGGAUAGUUGGGGGCAGUUAGUAUUUAAUUGUCAGAGGUGAAAUUCUUGGAUUUAUGAAGACUAACUACUGCGAAAGCAUUUGCCAAGGAUGUUUUCAUUAAUCAAGAACGAAAGUUAGGGAUCGAAGACGAUCAGAUACCGUCGUAGUCGUUAACCAUAAACCUAUAGCCGACUAGGGAUCGGAUGAUGUUAAUUUUUAUGUACU